RNAcentral lists this ribosomal RNA (364 nucleotides) under uncultured bacterium. RNAcentral's name for it is "partial 16S ribosomal RNA". The record is from RNAcentral.
UCUCUGACCCCCUUAUGUAGACAUAAUACGGUAGUNGAUAUCAUACCGCGCAGAGGAAAAACAUCUGCAUGCAUUAAUCACCGGCUGAGUGGUGCUCCCUCUGCGAGGGAGAAAAGUAUUCUAUCGGUCAAGGGAUGAGCCCGCGUUGGAUUAGCUAGUUGGUGGGGUAAAGGCCUACCAAGGCCGACGAUCCAUACCUGGUCUGAGAGGAUCAUCCCGCCACAUGGGGGGACAUGAAGAACCACCGGGCUCCAAAAACCUUCCCGUAAGCCGAGGAGAGCAGGCAAAGACCUAUGCUCGGGGGCGACAUCAUCAUCUCCGGGGGGGACCAAAUUUCGGGAAGCGCAGCACCCCCACAACAAGA